RNAcentral lists this ribosomal RNA (154 nucleotides) under Begonia formosana. RNAcentral describes it as "5.8S ribosomal RNA". It matches the Rfam family "5.8S ribosomal RNA". Rfam says of the family: 5.8S ribosomal RNA (5.8S rRNA) is a component of the large subunit of the eukaryotic ribosome. It is transcribed by RNA polymerase I as part of the 45S precursor that also contains 18S and 28S rRNA. The record is from RNAcentral. Lineage: Eukaryota; Viridiplantae; Streptophyta; Magnoliopsida; Cucurbitales; Begoniaceae.
CUCGACAAUGGAUAUCUCGGCUCUUGCAUCGAUGAAGAACGUAGUGAAAUGCGAUACCUGGUGUGAAUUGUAGAAUUCUGUGAACCAUCGAGUUUUUGAACACAAGUUGCGCCCGAAGCUUUCAGGCCAAGGGCAUGUCUUCCUGGGCGUCACG